CGCUGGCGGCGUGCCUAAUACAUGCAAGUCGAACGGUCUUUCUAUGGAAGCUUGCUUCCACUGAGAAGAUAGUGGCGAACGGGUGAGUAACACGUGGGUAACCUGCCCAUAAGAGGGGGGAUAACAUCCGGAAACGGGUGCUAAUACCGCAUAGUUUUUCUUGAUCGCAUGAUCGGGAAAGGAAAGACGGCCUUUGUGCUGUCGCUUAUGGAUGGACCCGCGGCGUAUUAGUUAGUUGGUGAGGUAACGGCUCACCAAGACGAUGAUACGUAGCCGACCUGAGAGGGUGAUCGGCCACAUUGGGACUGAGACACGGCCCAAACUCCUACGGGAGGCAGCAGUAGGGAAUCUUCCGCAAUGGACGAAAGUCUGACGGAGCAACGCCGCGUGAGUGAAGAAGGUUUUUCCGGAUCGUAAAACUCUGUUGUCAGAGAAGAACAAGUUGGAGAGUAACUGCUCCAGCCUUGACGGUAUCUGACCAGAAAGCCACGGCUAACUACGUGCCAGCAGCUGC
RNAcentral lists this ribosomal RNA (514 nucleotides) under uncultured bacterium. Its description in RNAcentral is "bacterial SSU rRNA". It matches the Rfam family "Bacterial small subunit ribosomal RNA", at positions 34 to 518 of the family's 1533-position model. The record is from RNAcentral.